CCACAGAUGUGUAUAAGAGACAGGUGAGUCAUCGAAUCUUUGAACGCACAUUGCGCCCCUUGGUAUUCCGAGGGGCAUGCCUGUUCGAGCGUCAUUAUAACCACUCAAGCCUCGGCUUGGUCUUGGGGUGCGAGGUUUCUCGGCCCUUAAAAUCAGUGGCGGUGCCAUCUGGCUCUAAGCGUAGUAAUUCUUCUCGCUACAGAGUUCCGGGUGGUUGCUUGCCAGAACUCCCCCCUUUUAAGGUUGACCUCGGAUCAGGUAGGGAUACCCGCUGAACUUAAGCAUAUCAAUAAGCGGAGG
This 300-nucleotide unclassified non-coding RNA is filed under the name uncultured Helotiales. RNAcentral describes it as "sequence contains 5.8S rRNA gene, ITS2". The stretch from base 1 to 94 matches the Rfam family "5.8S ribosomal RNA", at positions 58 to 154 of the family's 154-position model. The record is from RNAcentral. Lineage: Eukaryota; Fungi; Ascomycota; Leotiomycetes; Helotiales.